AAAAUUAAUAUUAUUAAGACAGUAAAAAGAAAACAUCACACAUGUUAUUAACACUCCAGACAAUUUUUAGUACACACCAAACACAAAUACAUUAAUAUAGACAAUAUACAAAUGCAAUUAAAUACAAAUUAAUAUACAAAUGCAGACCGCAAAGGAUUAAUUUCAUAAUUGCAAAGAAUGCAAUAUUCCAUUUAUAAACAGUUAUUAUACACACCUAUACUCCUGUUAUUCGUAAACAAUUCCAAAUCCCGUUAUGAUGAUAUAAAUCCCUUAUUUUACGCUACAACAGUACAAAAGAAACACAGACACAUCUAAACAACAACAGUCCGAAUUUACUAUUCCAUUCAUUCGCGACCGUUAAAUUAAAAUGUAUACACUUUCACUGACACUCGAAUAAAAUAGUUACAGAGUUAGAAAUAUCGAUGUUGAACUUGUUCUUGUUCGUACACAAUCGAAGGGGAGAACCGUUGGUAGAUUUACGUGGACGCAGAGACGUUUAUUGGCUACAGAUCCUGCAACGCUGAGAUAAAUUCCCUAUUUAGUGUUGUAGUCGAAACACGGAAGAAAAGAAAUGUAUCUAAACAGCAAAAACUGAAUUUCGAACAUUCCACAACACAAGACAUUGCAUAAAUAUAACAAAUUCUCAUAUUUUUUUAUGUUCUUAGCAUUUUGAAAUUAUGGCCAAUAUUCCUGAAAUGUGUAAACGUUAAAUUGUGUACAAUUGACGUAUUAACGUAAAUAUCAAAAUUCAGAAUGAAACCUGAACUUAAUAUACCAACCUUAUAUAUUAUCUCCAUUUUGGUGUCAAUCGAGUUUCAUAAGUAAACAAAUUCAUUAUAUCUCCAUUUGCUUCAUUUUACAUUCGCAAGAUUCGUUUAUAAAGGUUAGAAAAUGAAAUGCAUCGCGGAAAAGAACUUCCAGAGAGAGAAAAACCACGAUGAUUUUCGCAUUGUUACGGUUAUAUCGCGAAACAAAUAGGUCGUUAAAAACGUACAAUUGCCAAUUAUGUUAGUAAAAGAUGUAAUCACGAGAAGAAGCGUUCAGGCUACCCUCCGAAAGUGUCCCCUCGAAAUAAACGUAAAAUUCUACGAUUAUAACUCGGCAAUGUAAAUUGGUUCAAGUGCGAGAUUAUUGCAAAUUAAAUGUUGCGAAAACCAUCCGUGGAAUUAUUGUUGGGUUUCGAAAUGAAUUCCAUGACUUUCCUUUAAUUUAACAAUUUAUUAGCUACUUAUACACGUCUUUAUUCUUCGGGUUUCAAAUAUAUUCUAUUCGCCACGUGUCAACCGUCGCGGAUCGGCAAUCUUGCGCCGAAAAUUGUCGAAGAUUGCCGAAUCGUUCCGAUUGCCUCCGAACAUCCUAGCGGAGAUAUGCAGUCUUUCUCUAAUGUUUCUUUUCAACAAUUAUUAUAACAUCUCUGCACACUGUUAACGCGAAAAUGAUAUCGACAUAUAAAACAAAGAUAAAUCAACGAAACUUUCAUUCUCUGAAGUAAACACGAGUACGGAUUGGAAAAAUGUUAUAUUUAGUGUGGAGGAAAAAUUCAAUCUAGGUAGGCCAGAUGUUUUAAUUCGUAUUGACACGAUAUACAAGAAGAUGUGAAAUAUUUUUCGUAACACAACUUUAGCUCGGUUACGAUUUAUUUCCCGGCGCUCAUGCGUCGUAAAUUGUCGACAAUUACCGAAUUGUUCCGAUUGUCUCGAGAGACGUCCUAUGGCAAAUACGGUUAUCCUUUUUUCAGCAUUCCUUUUUAACAAUUAUUGUAACAUCUUUGCACACUGUUAAGAUGAAAAUAUCGUCGACAGAUUCGAUAAACAAUGAUAAAUCUGCGAGACUUCUAUUUGCUGAAGCCAAUACGCCUACGGAUUGAAAAAAUGUUAGAUUUAGUGUCGAGAAACAAUUCAAUCUACGUGAACCAGAUGUUUUAAUUCGUAUUGACACGCUAGAUGAUGAACACGAUGUCGAACACGAGAAGAUGUGAAAUAUUUUUCGUAACACAACUCUGUUAUGAUUUAUUUCGGUUCUUGGAAAAAAUUUCAUAUCAUUUAUUUUCCGCAACAUGAACAAUAAUAAUGAUACGCUAGAAAAUUAUUUAAAGCCCUAUUGUAGAGAAUACCACAGUGAAAAUUCAAUUUUCAUGCAGGAUAAUGCAUCGGGUCAUUUUGCACGUUCAUUAAGGGAGUUUGCCGAAAAUAACAUUCCGUUAUUAGAUUGACCUGCACGUUCCUGUAGCGUUAUCCUAUUAAAACUUCACGGGAAUAUCGAUAUAAUUUUUUAAAAUAAUCGUACAUAUUCUAAUGUGGAUAAAUUAAAAUUUGUUACAGUUGACACAUGGAAUAAUGAAGAAGAAAAUAUAGUAAAAAAUGUUACUGGUAAUAUGCCAAAUUUUCGUCACGUGACGAUGAGAACAUGGAAAAUAAUAGGAAGUUUACAGGAGAGAACCUAUUUCACAAUUACGUGGACGCAUAGACUGGUUCAGAUUCUAUAGACAGUACCGUUGGGAGAUUACGUGGACGCUGAGACGCAGCAACAUUUACUGGCUUCUGCGUGUUCGAGUGCCCUUCUGCGCGUACUUUUUUCGUUCAGCAGCGAAGAAAGUGCUAUUUCUGCUGGCGGGGAAAACCACUUCCCCGGGAGAUAUGCAAGGGAAUGGUAAUGGAAGCUGAAAGAAGUCGCGCGAGAGCUGACGUUACAAGAAAUUGCGUGCUUGUGUAGCUAAGCUUCCUCCGGAAAUAGGAGAAAUAACUGGAUGCUGAGAUUACGGGUAAAUUUUCGCUGCGCGGAAUUUCCUUUCGAAUCGAGCUACUUAUUCGCUUCGAAUAAUAAUAUUGGGUUAAACGUUCUCGGAAGUCAAUACAUUCAGUGACAAAAGUAUAGAACACGGUACAAAAUCAUACAAAUCUGUGUUAAUUUUUAAACUUAAGCUUUUCUUGUGUUGUGCUGUUUUUCUUUGGUGUGUCAUUAAGUUAGUGAACUCAAUAAGUGUUAUAUGAAUAAUUGUUUUUUACUAUUUCAAAAUAAAGAAUACCUUCAUUUAGAAAAAGUAAUAAUGAUUACAUUUAUAAAAAUAAUAAAAAAGAUAACAUUUAUUACAAUGAUAUAAUAAUGACAAUUAUAAAAAUAAUAAUUUAGGGAAACAUACACUAUUUUCUGAAAGUAUUAAAAACAAUUUAACAGUGAAAUUGUUGUAUGUAACUGUGUGAAUGCAUUUCUUGUAUUGAAUAUAAAUAUUUGUCGUUGAAUGUAAAUGUGUGGUUAAAAGGAAACAAAAGGCGUUUCUUGAAAACAAGAUGGCGCGAGUCUGCAAAUCAACAUGGCGUCGGUUCAUUCAUAAAACUGUGGCUCACAAUUACUUUUUGAAGAAAUGAGGCAAAUCUGAGUAACUUAAAAUGAAAAACUAUAAAUUUAACCCUAUAAUCUGUGAUAAAAUUAUAAGAUAUUGUGAAAGUGUUUAUUUUUGUAAAAAAUGAAGGUAAAAAUGGUAUUUGAAUUACUUGUUAGUAAUGUGGCGCCAUUGUUAAUGUUAUAUAACUUGUGACAUUUUAUAACGUUUUGGAAGAGAUUUGAAUGACUUUUCUUGCUUUCUAUUCUU
Molecule: unclassified non-coding RNA, 3589 nt
Organism: Megachile rotundata (alfalfa leafcutting bee)
Lineage: Eukaryota; Metazoa; Arthropoda; Insecta; Hymenoptera; Megachilidae
Source: RefSeq, a predicted model, not a curated record